UGGGGGAUAUUGCACAAUGGAGGAAACUCUGAUGCAGCAACGCCGCGUGAGGGAAGAAGGUCUUCGGAUUGUAAACCUUUGUUUUUGGUGACGAACAAAUGACGGUAGCCAAAGAGGAAGCCACGGCUAACUACGUGCCAGCAGCCGCGGUAAUACGGAGGUGGCAAGCGUUGUCCGGAUUUACUGGGUGUAAAGGGAGCGCAGGCGGGACAGCAAGUUUGAUGUGAAAUACCGGAGCUUAACUCCGGAGCUGCAUCCAAAACUGUUGUUCUUGAGUGAAGUAGAGGUUGGCGGAAUUCCGAGUGUAGCGGUGAAAUGCGUAGAUAUUCGGAGGAACACCAGUGGCGAAGGCGGCCAACUGGGCUUUAACUGACGCUGAGGCUCGAAAGCAUGGGGAGCAAACA
RNAcentral lists this ribosomal RNA (404 nucleotides) under uncultured prokaryote. RNAcentral describes it as "bacterial SSU rRNA". It matches the Rfam family "Bacterial small subunit ribosomal RNA", at positions 355 to 774 of the family's 1533-position model. The record is from RNAcentral.